AUUUGGCUUAGUUAGGAGGCAGAAAUCGAUUCUAAAAACCAGCGAUAUCGGGUUCCCGAUGUUUCUGGUGAGUUUAACUCGGGCCUCUUGACGGGGACUAUGGGUUUUCUUUCUUCUUCCAUUGUCCCACAAGAAGCCAUGGACAUUU
Molecule: small nucleolar RNA, 148 nt
Organism: Hibiscus syriacus
Lineage: Eukaryota; Viridiplantae; Streptophyta; Magnoliopsida; Malvales; Malvaceae
Product: small nucleolar RNA U19
Exons: 1
Source: RefSeq, a predicted model, not a curated record